UGGAGAACUCAGAAAUACAAAUCUGUGCAACAUCUUAAAAUUCCUAGUUUGAUAGCCCUUACAACUCCCUCUGACACACACCGUUUAGGAUUAAAUCCUGAAAAGUAGCGAAUAGUAUUGCCGAUCAGGCCAGGACCAUGUAAAAGUGUAACAUUCCUUCUCCGAGAACAAAUGGAGUUAAUUCUGCCACAAAAGAAAAGAAUGAACUGAUGAACUCGUUCACACUACCCCUGGCCCUCGCUCUUCAACUGUUGGAGAAAACUUCCUUCUAUCGCUGCUCGCAACACAGCAGAACUUGGUUUAAUUCUGUGCGCUAAAAUUUUGCAAACGAGGCCUAAAAUACUGUUAUGUAAGAUAGACUGUUAUGUAGGAUAGACGGAAUCGUUUCAGUAACUUUCUUGAUCAUCUUUAGAAACUCUUUCAACAACAUUGAUAAAAGUCCAGUUUGCCUGCUGAAAUUUCAGAAUCUUGCUCUACUUUACGGAAGGCGCGAAUGUAAAAUCUAUGAAUUGUAAAAAAAGCAAUCAAUGUCAGUUAAGAGUUAAAAUUUGAAUAUGCAUGAUAUGGUCGGUCGAAUAUAAUAUAAUGAAUUGAUCCAAAGCCAGCAGGCUUUUCGCACUGGCCAGUAUUGCUUUUUGAAGGGAAACGCUACAAUGCUCAUCAAGGAGCAAAUCCUGGUUCGCGUAACCAAUAUCAAACGCAUCAUGGAAUCCAUUUUCUGAGAUAGGAUUCACAUUUAAUCAUCAAAACUCUUCUUACUGAUUGUUCAACAGAAUGAGAGUAAGUAGUGGUAGUUUUGAAUUAUUUUCAGACUUUCAAUAUCGAUGGGGUUUGAGAAUAAUUGGGCCUUGGGAACAUAUUUCCAAUCCGGAGUUAUGGCAAAUUACGUGUUAGUAAUAAUGUCAAUGAUUAUAUCUGUGUUCGUGUAUUAAUCUAACUACUGACUUUAUUUGUUUAUCUCAAUAAGA
This is a long non-coding RNA of Bolinopsis microptera, 968 nucleotides long. RefSeq lists it as uncharacterized. The record is from RefSeq and is a predicted model, not a curated record. Lineage: Eukaryota; Metazoa; Ctenophora; Tentaculata; Lobata; Bolinopsidae. The transcript has 3 exons.